UCUUCAUGGCCUUUUCACUGGUGGUUGAUUGCGAACGAAACAAAGGUUUGCCCAGGUCUCUUCAACUCUACCAAGUUUAUAAUAAUUCUGAUGCUGUGGCAUCACAAAGGAAGUGUCAGGUGGUAAUUACUACUCCUUUGAAUUUGUCACAUUUCCUCAAAUGAUACCAAGAUCACAUACCUUAGAAUUUUCAAUAGUCAGUUUUUAAAAUCAUGUACUGUGUUUUGCAGAGGCUAAGAAAAGCACUCUUUAACCCAAUGGUGUCCAAACUCAGUCUUUCAGGGAAACUGUCCUAUAUGUUUUAGAUUUCUUCCUGAUUCAACACACUUGAAUCAAAUGGUGCUUUGUUACCAGGCCUCUGUGGAGCAUACUAAGGAGGUAGGUUCAAGUAUAUAAAUCAGCUGUGUUGGAUCAGGACACUAGAGGACUGGAGCUGCAUAGCUCUAUUCUAACAUUUCAAAUCAGCCAAGUUUUGGUGGAUAAUAAUCCCAAAUUAUUCUAGCUUUUGGCAGAUAUAGAUUUAAUGGAAUCUUUUAAUUUUACCAACAUUUAUUUUUGUGCUUUUAACAUCUUGGAGUGUGGUCAGCCAGAAGUUAGACCAAAAUGCGAUAGAGAAUCAGUAAAGGAAAAUAAAGAUUAGGCUGAUGGUAAGAUGGUCGUCCAAGAGUCAAAAUGUAAGUGGAAACACAUUUUGCUUGGGGCCCAAUAGAUCUUUGCUCCGGCCCUGGAUACAGUGAAAGGUUUUAGGGAAAAGUGACACUGACAUAUGCAUGCUGUGAUUCACCGGGGAAGAUAAUAAUUUUUUUUAUAAAUUUCCUUGAAAACGACCAAGCAGUAUAUAGGUCUACAGAAUCCAUAAACAGACAAAAAUGCGUGAAUAAUGACUGACUCACUCAGGACAAUUUGAAUGCAAAUUUUAUUUCGGCAUAAAAAAAAACUCCCGUGGAAAAACCCCGAAGCUUGCCUGGACGUUCAGGAAGUAGCACACUGUUCAAGAUACACAGCAGCAGAAACAGCAGCAGAGAGCCAGCUCAGUGUGACAUGCAAGCGGAUUUCUUUACAGCUCGUCUGGUUGCUGUUCAACUCCUUCAAAUCUGAGAAGAAGAUAGAAACCUCUUGAUCAUCGGCAACCGAGUUUGUCCAUGGCAAUCAUGAUGGCAGCUGCAAUACUCAAGCUCUACGCCAUUGGAACAGCACUCUCUGUACUUGCAUUUAUUUAUGGGAUUGCUGAUUCCUUCGGGGGACUCAUGUAUACCCAGAACCACCACUAUAUCCAUGGACUGGACCACCAGUCACAGAUGCAGAUCCAAUCCAGGACCGACCUGCGAGGACCGUCUGUGUCUAGAAACAUUGGCUCAUAAGAGACUUUGUGAUGCUGAAUGUGUUGGAUCUUUUCUUCACUUUGAAGAGACUUGAACUGUAUAUAUCAGUAUUCCCAAGGGAUGUUUUUGUAUGUUUUUCCAUCUACUGUUAAAAAUUGUUGUGCCACUAUUUUUUAGAACAACUACAAAGCUGUAACAGAAAUGGCAGCACUACUGAACGACUUGCACUAAAACUAUAAUGUUUUUGUAGCUGUUUCUGAAAUAAAAUCUUUUCUUCUUAA
Girardinichthys multiradiatus is the source of this 1603-nucleotide long non-coding RNA. RefSeq lists it as uncharacterized. Lineage: Eukaryota; Metazoa; Chordata; Actinopteri; Cyprinodontiformes; Goodeidae. The transcript has 2 exons. The record is from RefSeq and is a predicted model, not a curated record.